RNAcentral lists this ribosomal RNA (449 nucleotides) under uncultured bacterium. Its description in RNAcentral is "partial 16S ribosomal RNA". It matches the Rfam family "Bacterial small subunit ribosomal RNA", at positions 29 to 523 of the family's 1533-position model. The record is from RNAcentral.
AACGAACGUUGGCGGCAUGCCUAACACAUGCAAGUCGAACGAGAUCUUCGGGUCUAGUGGCGCACGGGUGCGUAACGCGUGGGAAUCUGCCCUUUGAUUCGGAAUAACAGUUGGAAACGACUGCUAAUACCGGAUGAUGACGAAAGUCCAAGGAUUUAUCGCCAGAGGAUGAGCCCGCGUAGGAUUAGCUAGUUGGUGUGGUAAAGGCGCACCAAGGCGACGAUCCUUAGCUGGUCUGAGAGGAUGAUCAGCCACACUGGGACUGAGACACGGCCCAGACUCCUACGGGAGGCAGCAGUGGGGAAUAUUGGACAAUGGGCGAAAGCCUGAUCCAGCAAUGCCGCGUGAGUGAUGAAGGCCUUAGGGUUGUAAAGCUCUUUUACCCGGGAUGAUAAUGACAGUACCGGGAGAAUAAGCUCCGGCUAACUCCGUGCCAGCCGCCGCAGUAA